This 407-nucleotide long non-coding RNA is filed under the name Panax ginseng (ginseng). RNAcentral describes it as "long non-coding RNA (PGIN_LNC008742)". Lineage: Eukaryota; Viridiplantae; Streptophyta; Magnoliopsida; Apiales; Araliaceae. The record is from RNAcentral.
AAAAUUCUCAAACGACUUAUAUUAAAGAAUAAAAACACUUCUCUAAAACGACUUAUAUUAAGGAACGGAGUGAGUAGAAUAGUUCGUAAUUAAUAACCACUUCAACAUCAUUAAUUUGCAAAGUCAAAUUAGACACAUAAGAGAUCAUCCCAUAAACUGAACUGACUCAUAAAUAGUUGAAAUUAAUUAAAUACUUAUAUACUUAUGGUAAGAAAAUCAACAAGGCUUAGGUUGAUUUCUUCUUCACAAAGUACAUGCAGUUACUUAUUUGGCCAAGUUGCAUAGAGUGAAGACAAAGUACAAGUGAAUUAGAUCAUAAGAAAGUAGUAAUAAUCAAUUAUGAAGUAGUACUGUGAAUAGAGUGAUCUUUCAAGUUAUAUAUUGAGGUUUCAGAUCUUAAUUAUCCG